GUGAUGUGUGGGGCCCAGAAGUGACGUCGCAUGAGUGUAUCCUGCACAAAGGGAGAGCACAGCAAGUGGGCAUCCGUCCAUGAGCCCAGGAAAAAGGACUCCAGAGAAAAGAGAUCUAACUGCACCCAGCCUCAGACUUCCCAGUUUCCAAUAAAUUGCUGUUGUGUAAGUC
Long non-coding RNA from Chinchilla lanigera (long-tailed chinchilla), 172 nucleotides. RefSeq lists it as uncharacterized. The transcript is spliced from 2 exons. The record is from RefSeq and is a predicted model, not a curated record. Lineage: Eukaryota; Metazoa; Chordata; Mammalia; Rodentia; Chinchillidae.